AGCCUAAACCAUCUGAAUUCCUCAGAUGGCAUGGUUCGAAAACGGUUCAACGUAGAGAGCUCCUAGUCAGAGCACGUUGAACCGUCAUGUCGAGAAAUCGGCAUGGGCCCGCAAGGGUC
Molecule: small RNA, 119 nt
Filed under: unclassified sequences
Description: LOOT RNA
Rfam family: LOOT RNA
About the family: Latescibacteria, OD1/Parcubacteria, OP11, TM7.
Source: Rfam by way of RNAcentral